AUGGUGACGCACACAUCGAGCAACAUCGACCGGGCGCGGGUGCUGGAUCUGGUCGCCGUUUGGAGGUCCGGUACUAAUCUCCGACGAGUUCCUUGCGCAGAUCUGAAGAGGGGUGCCUCGAUCUGCCACACCAGAAGGCUUCGGCCGGAUUGGCAGGCUUGUGACCAGGGUUGCGCUCUAGAGCCCCGAUGUCGAGCUCGUCGCCGUCAAGGACCCCUUCAUCACCACCGACUACAUGGUUUCGGCCAGAUCGGCAGGCUUGUGGCCAGGGUUGCGCUCGAGAGCACCGAUGUCGAGCUCGUCGCCGUCAACGACCCCUUCAUCACCACCGACUACAUGACCUACAUUUUCAAGUAUGACACUGUCAACGGACAGUGGAAGCACCAUUAA
This 390-nucleotide ribosomal RNA is filed under the name Triticum aestivum (bread wheat). Its description in RNAcentral is "partial small subunit ribosomal RNA". Lineage: Eukaryota; Viridiplantae; Streptophyta; Magnoliopsida; Poales; Poaceae. The record is from RNAcentral.